RNAcentral lists this ribosomal RNA (257 nucleotides) under uncultured bacterium. Its description in RNAcentral is "partial 16S ribosomal RNA". It matches the Rfam family "Bacterial small subunit ribosomal RNA", at positions 524 to 777 of the family's 1533-position model. The record is from RNAcentral.
UACAGAGGUCUCAAGCGUUGUUCGGAUUCAUUGGGCGUAAAGGGUGUGUAGGUGGCGCGCUAAGCCGGGUGUGAAAUUUCGGAGCUUAACUCCGAAACUGCAUUCGAUACUGGCGUGCUUGAGGACUGGAGAGGAGACUGGAAUUCAUGGUGUAGCAGUGAAAUGCGUAGAGAUCAUGAGGAAGACCAGUGGCGAAGGCAGGGUCGUCUGGGCAUUGAACUGACGCUGAGGAGCGAAAGCAUGGGGAGCGAACGGGA